UAAGGAAUAUUGGUCAAUGGACGCAAGUCUGAACCAGCCAUGCCGCGUGGAGGAUGAAGGUCCUCUGGAUUGUAAACUUCUUUUAUCUGGGAAGAAAUCCACGAAUUCUUUUGUGGUUGACGGUACCAGAUGAAUAAGCACCGGCUAACUCCGUGCCAGCAGCCGCGGUAAUACGGAGGGUGCAAGCGUUAUCCGGAUUCACUGGGUUUAAAGGGUGCGUAGGUGGGCAGGUAAGUCAGUGGUGAAAUCUCCGGGCUUAACUCGGAAACUGCCAUUGAUACUAUCUGUCUUGAAUACCGUGGAGGUCAGCGGAAUAUGUCAUGUAGCGGUGAAAUGCUUAGAUAUGACAUAGAACACCAAUUGCGAAGGCAGCUGGCUACACGAAUAUUGACACUGAUGCACGAAAGCGUGGGGAUCAAACAGGAUUAGAUACCCGCGUAGUCC
RNAcentral lists this ribosomal RNA (444 nucleotides) under uncultured bacterium. RNAcentral describes it as "bacterial SSU rRNA". It matches the Rfam family "Bacterial small subunit ribosomal RNA", at positions 355 to 796 of the family's 1533-position model. The record is from RNAcentral.